Molecule: unclassified non-coding RNA, 297 nt
Filed under: uncultured fungus
Lineage: Eukaryota; Fungi
Description: sequence contains ITS2
Rfam family: 5.8S ribosomal RNA (bases 1-52)
Source: RNAcentral
AACGCACCUUGCGCUCCUUGGUAUUCCGAGGAGCAUGCCUGUUUGAGUGUCAUUAAAUUAAAUCAAAUCUCUAUUCUGUCAAAAGUUUAGAGGUAUGGAUUGUGGGGGUUUUGUGCUGGCUUUCUGCAAGUCAGCUCCCCUUAAAAGCAUUAGCAGAAACCCGUUGCUGGCAAUUCUGGUGUGAUAAUUAUCUACGCCAUUGUUAAUCACGGUUUUGCUUCCAAUAGUCCUGUUUAUUACGGACAAGUCUUUAAACAAUUUGACCUCAAGUCAGGUAGGACUACCCGCUGAACUUAA